RNAcentral lists this long non-coding RNA (1489 nucleotides) under Manihot esculenta (cassava). Its description in RNAcentral is "long non-coding RNA (MESC_LNC006868)". Lineage: Eukaryota; Viridiplantae; Streptophyta; Magnoliopsida; Malpighiales; Euphorbiaceae. The record is from RNAcentral.
AGAGGUUACAUUUCCCCUCAAUUUGUAACAAAUCCUGAAAAGCUAAUUUGUGAAUUCGAGAAUGCAAGAGUGUUGAUUACAGAUCAAAAAAUUUCGGCAAUCAAAGACAUAAUUCCUCUGCUAGAGAAGACCACUCAAUUGAGAGCACCUUUACUUAUAAUUGCUGAGGAUGUUACUGGGGAGGCUUUGGCUACACUUGUUGUAAACAAGCUGCGGGGUAUCCUUAAUGUUGCUGCCAUCAAAGCUCCUGGAUUUGGUGAGAGGAGAAAGGCUAUGCUUCAGGACAUUGCCAUUCUAACAGGUAAUGUUUUGCUGCCUAACAGUAAAGAUGUCCUAUCAGAGCCCUCGAGUUUAGUGCCACAUUUUGUCAAUCAAAUAUUUGCAUCUGAUUUUGCUACAAGUAGCCGAAAUAGACAGCUAGAAUGUGGCACUAGGAUUGUGUCAAGAAGACAUUAAUUGUUCAUUACCUAUUUCCUUUCAGUUGCAUUAGUAAUGAAUUGUCUAUAUAUUUAUGUUAUUGGUUGUUGCUAAUUUUCUUUUGGGUUUUCCUGCUUUUUAGGAGCUGAGUUCCAAGCCAGCGAUCUGGGUUUGCUUAUUGAGAACACUUCAGUUGAGCAGCUUGGUUUGGCUAGGAAAGUAACCAUAACCAAGGACUCCACCACCAUUAUUGCUGAUGUUGCAUCCAAGGAUGAGUUACAAGCUAGGAUUGCACAGUUGAAAAAGGAGUUGUCUGAGACAGAUUCUGUUUAUGACACGCAGAAGCUAGCUGAGAGGAUUGCUAAAUUGUCUGGUGGGGUUGCUGUUAUCAAAGUGGGGGCUGCAACUGAGACUGAGCUUGAAGACCGUAAACUCCGAAUUGAGGAUGCCAAGAAUGCAACAUUUGCUGCAAUAGAGGAGGGUAUUGUCCCUGGUGGUGGUACCGCAUUGGUUCAUCUCUCAACUCAUGUUCCUGCAAUCAAGGACAAAAUUGAAGAUGCUGAGGAGCGGUUAGGUGCGGACAUUGUGCAGAAGGUAAUGUUAGUUAAUUUUAGAUGCAUGUCAGAUAUUUACGAAAGACUAAACUCCUCUCCUAGAUUCUGCUCUUACAGGAUCAGGAGUGGGUUAUACAUAAAUUCUCUCCGAGGUUCUUAAGUUAUUUUGUAGACCUUUAUUUUUAGUUGCCUGUACUAACUGCCUGCAUUUUCACAUAGGCACUGGUAGCACCAGCGUCAUUGAUAGCUCAGAAUGCUGGAAUUGAAGGUGAGGUGGUUGUGGAGAAGAUAAAGACUAGCGAAUGGGAGAUUGGGUAUAAUGCCAUGACAGACAAGUAUGAGAACUUGGUGGAGGCUGGAGUUAUUGAUCCAGCUAAGGUUACCAGAUGUGCUCUCCAGAAUGCAGCAUCAGUUGCUGGAAUGGUGCUGACCACUCAGGCAAUUGUGGUGGAAAAGCCUAAGCCUAAGGCACCAGCUGCUGCUCCUCCACAAGGUCUUACAGUGUAAUCACAGUAAAU